This 871-nucleotide long non-coding RNA is filed under the name Nicotiana benthamiana. RNAcentral describes it as "long non-coding RNA (NBEN_LNC024843)". Lineage: Eukaryota; Viridiplantae; Streptophyta; Magnoliopsida; Solanales; Solanaceae. The record is from RNAcentral.
AUCUGAAAAUUCCCCCAUAAAAGUUUUCUUCAAGUUUUACAUUCUAAAUUUGAAUUUCAAAAAAUUCAAAAUAGAAACUGGAGAUCUGAAAUUAGAAGUUCAAAAUUCUGCAGAGUUUUCAAAGUCCCUUUGUAUCAUAGAUAUUUUUAAAAAAAAACUCCAAAAAUACUACUUCAUUCAAGUUUUCUUAGAUUAAAUAUUGAGUUUCAGCUUUAGAUAAAAUUAUCAAGUUCAUGGAAGGUUAAGAAAUAGUUCGGGUACUUCCAGUUUUCAUUAGUUCAAGUUCAGAAAGAUUCUGGGUUAAUUUCGAGUUUGCUUGGGCUUAGUUUGAUCUGUUUUCAGUGGUUUAUUGAUGUUUAUUCCUCUACAAAUCAUUCCUGGUUGUUUUGACAUUGUUUUAUAUUGAAACUCUGGUUUGUGACCGCUGCUUACUGCUACUGAUCCUUCAUUUUCUUAUUUUCGACCCAUUUCCAGGUACAACCUCUCAAAAUCUCUAUGUACUACAAAAAGGCUGAUUUGAAGAAGAAAUGAGAGGACUAGAAGAUCUGUUGUUUGCGUAUAUGUUUUGUGUGCUAUAAUUGUUGUUUCAUUCCAUAAUUCUCUAUAUUUGUUGGGUGAUUUCUAUCAUUUCCCCUUUGGACACAUUGUAAUUGAAAAUUGGGCGGUUAUUGUUUGAGAGUACUUUGCACAUCAUAUAGGUUAUUGUAAUUGAAACAGGACUUCAUGUGAAUUUGAGUAGGUCUAUUAAUCCUUUAGUUUGAAAUUCGAAAUCAUCAUAAUAGCCUAUCAUCUGUUUGCGAUUUGGACAAUGUCGUUAUACUUGGUUAUGAGUGGAUAUUUGAAGCAAUGUAACUGAACUGGAAAUCAUGUU